Molecule: microRNA, 22 nt
Filed under: Medicago truncatula (barrel medic)
Lineage: Eukaryota; Viridiplantae; Streptophyta; Magnoliopsida; Fabales; Fabaceae
Description: mtr-miR2673a
Source: miRBase by way of RNAcentral
CCUCUUCCUCUUCCUCUUCCAC